GAGAGUAGGCGAAGACGGCUCGGUAAGUGUAGAUGUGAUCACCAGGUUUAAGCUCGUCUCUGUCAACCUUAUUCGUAAUCAGAUUCAUUGCUUUCUUGCUCCCUUUGCUUUGCUUUGGAGUAGAGGAGGAUGAUGAGGAGAUUCUGACGUCAGCGGCGGAGAUUGUGAUUUUGGGCGAUCAAACGAAGCAGGAGGGGUAAUAUGGUAAAUGUAGCAUGCGUGUUUAAUCGCCCUAGCGAGGCUUUUGCGAUACGACGACGUAGGUGUUCAUCUAGGAUUCUAAUUAAAUUAAUUUUGUUAAUAAUGAUGGUGACAAAAAAACAUACAGAUAAUAUGGCGAAUGAUCGUGCUGGUUAAACAACAAACUGAUUAAUGAAUAUGUCUGUUUUAUUAGUUUUUAUGAUUCUAGUGAAAUAAUGAUACAUGAAAAUGAAAUAAUAUUUUUCCUAACAACUUUUAAAAGAAGUUUGUAAGAAAGGUAUGGUUACACGUCCCAUAUGAAAGAUCUCUUAACAUUGGACUCUGAAUGGGCUUAAAGAGUACGUUUUACGGCCCAAUAAUCGAAUAAGGCUUGAGUCAAUCUCAUUUGAUUAAUUAACCAACAGUCAUUAACAUUUUUAAUUGAUGGAAUAUGCAUAUCAUUAAUCAGGUUUUUACUUGUCUCAUAGGAAUAUAACCGAUCGAGUUUUAUAGUAUAAUCAAUAAAUAAUUGCACACUCUAAAAGUUAUUUAAGCUAUGUAUGAUUUGAGAUAAACAAAAAAAAAAGAACUAAAAGCGUAGUGGAGCUAGAGGAGAACCAAAUUCAAUAAUGAAAGAAACUUCGAGGAACCUCACUUUUUGUUAUAACCAAUGAUUAUAUUUAUUUAAAAUCGAAUAUGCUAACAAUUAAUAUGCUGAAACCAGGCCGCAGAUCCUCAGACCACCAUUAUCCCAGGUCCUUAAGUGGAGUUUUUAAGAAAAGCAAUGAUUUAAUUAAAUCAAAAUAAAAGAAAAUCAAUGUAACCGAUCCUUAAUACAUAGUUUUGGUAAUCGAUCAUAAUGAAGUUUCUUAAUACACGUGUCAGCGAACUGUGAUUUAGGAUUUUUAUUUUUUUUUCUUUUCUUUCUUUCCUCUUCUCUCGUGUUUGGAUUCGAAGAAGAAAAACACAGAGACGCCCGCUUGAUCGCCGGCAUUCUGUUUCUCUCCGGCCGCCGAGUCUUUCACCUUUCGUUGUAAACCGUAAGCUUUCUUCUUCUCCUUGAAAGGUUUAUCUCUAGAGCAUUAUUGUCUUAGAUACAAACCCUAAGUUCAAAGAUUGGUCCUUUAUUGAGUUUUCACCUUCUACCAGAUGGUUAAGAGUCUCAAUAUCAAGGCCCUAGUUCAAAGAUUGGCCCUUUAUUGAUGAAGAGUCUGUAUAUUUAAAGUGGCUUGACUUUGAUUGAUUAUUGUUGUUGUUUAGUUUUUUAAGAACUUGUAUGUUCCUGUCUUGAUGGCUAAGGAAGUACAGUCUCAGAAACGGCAUCGGAGAGAGGAGGCGUGAAGGGCUCGAGGUGGCGCUGGAGUUAUGUCAAGGUUCCUUGGAUUUUCGAUCUUCUUCGAGUCCUUCUCCUCUUCCCCGGGGAUCUUAUCUUCUCCACCGUCGGAAAUGUUGUUAUGUUCUCUCUUCAUCUUCUCUGUUUCACCCAAUUGUGUUUUUUUUGCAACUUUAUAAACUUUUUCUGUUGCUCUUGCUAAUGUGAUUGUUGAGGCUAUGAAAGUUGACAGCUUGCACAGGCUAUGCUCCUCUGUGGAACCUAUUCUCCGUAGAGUUGUAUGCACUCACUCAUCUGAGAUUGCUCAAACUGGCUGAAGAUCCUGCUACUAGACCUGUUUUUGAAGUUCGUUGUGUCUCUGUAAUCGGCUAAAAGCAUCUGACACUUUAUUUUGUUGCAGAUUAACUACAGAAUACGUUUGAGGAUCGUGAGAAUGAGUGCUUGUUCUUGAUAGAGCAUUCUACCAAGCAAGAAACGAGGUGUUAGGAUUCGUGG
Molecule: long non-coding RNA, 2008 nt
Organism: Brassica napus (rape)
Lineage: Eukaryota; Viridiplantae; Streptophyta; Magnoliopsida; Brassicales; Brassicaceae
Exons: 4
Source: RefSeq, a predicted model, not a curated record